This 274-nucleotide ribosomal RNA is filed under the name uncultured bacterium. Its description in RNAcentral is "partial 16S ribosomal RNA". It matches the Rfam family "Bacterial small subunit ribosomal RNA", at positions 523 to 796 of the family's 1533-position model. The record is from RNAcentral.
AUACGGGGGGUGCAAGCGUUACUCGGAAUCACUGGUCGUAAAGCGCGCGCAGGCGGCUAUUUAAGUUGGAUGUGAAAGCCUACGGCUCGACCGUAGAACUGCAUCCAAAACUAUUUAGCUAGAGUGUGGGAGAGGAAGAUGGAAUUAGUUGUGUAGGGGUAAAAUCCGUAGAGAUAACUAGGAAUACCAAAAGCGAAGGCAAUCUUCUGGAACACUACUGACGCUGAGGCGCGAAAGCGUGGGGAGCAAACGGGAUUAGAAACCCUAGUAGUCC